Molecule: ribosomal RNA, 253 nt
Filed under: uncultured bacterium
Lineage: Bacteria
Description: partial 16S ribosomal RNA
Rfam family: Bacterial small subunit ribosomal RNA
Source: RNAcentral
UACAGAGGUCUCAAGCGUUGUUCGGAUUCAUUGGGCGUAAAGGGUGUGUAGGUGGCGCGCUAAGUCGGGUGUGAAAUUUCGGGGCUUAACUCCGAAACUGCAUUCGAUACUGGCGUGCUUGAGGACUGGAGAGGAGACUGGAAUUUACGGUGUAGCAGUGAAAUGCGUAGAUAUCGUAAGGAAGACCAGUGGCGAAGGCGGGUCUCUGGACAGUUCCUGACACUGAGACACGAAGGCCAGGGGAGCAAACGGG